CUGCCUAGGUGGGCCGGGCGGUGCGAGGGUCGCCUUUCAGCCUUUACCUCUACCCACUGAAAUGGAGUAGGUCGGUGAGCGCCGAUCUGCUGGAGAAUCUCAUUAUCCCAUCGGCGCUCUGCCUGCUCCUGGCCUCCAAGCCUCUGAAGCCCCUCGGGUUUCAGCUGCCGGCUACCCUCGAGCCCGUGGUGCCCACGAGAGAGGCGACUUUACGUCAGCGGCCCUGGGCUGAGAUUUGAGAACGCGACCAAGUGGAGAAUGUUGGAGCCAGAUUUUAAAAUCCUUGUCUUCCUUCUGCGUGCUACUUGAUCUAAAUGAGAUACGGCAAAGUCACAGAACCUGUUUUUAUGUUUUUGCCUGAUUCAUACGGGCUUCUCCGGUGAAGAUGGGCCUGAAGUAACGCUUGGGUUGCUUCUGACGUUAUAACUCAUCCUGUAGCUGCAGCAACCGUGGUCCUUGCAACCUCAUAAAAAUGUUGCCAGCAUUGUUUCGAUAGUGCUGCUUAAUUCUUGGAAGGCCUCUUUGCUUUCUUCCCUGAGGUUCUUCGGACUUCACACAUUCCAGCAGUAGCUCUCUCAGCUCCUGUCCUGCACAGCUUUGAAGUGCUGGACACAGCCCUGGUGAUGGCUUUCUGAGGAUGACACGAUGGAGGCUUCUCCAAUAGCUCUAAAACUGCGGUGUGGAAAACAUUCGGCAGCCUCAAAGAGCGGUCUUGUUGACCCCAACUAUAUCAUUUUUCAUCAAAAUCAUUCUUGUAAAGAAUGACCAGGCAACACUCUUUGAAAAUUGGAGGCCAUUUGCAGCUGCUCUCUGUUGAGGAAAGUGAAUAAUAGGGUGCCCUCAAGGAAUUGCAAAGGUAUCACUCAACAGAAACUUUCGUGUCUGAAGAAAACUAGAUCAUUUUAUCAUGGGACACGCUGCGGAUGGCUUGAGAUUAGUAUCUGCGCAGGUGCCAUUCUCACAGUGUGUGCUGUGAGAAUGUCGCAGACGUGUGCUGCUACUCUGGCACUCACACUUGUCCAGGCUGUUUCUUAGGUGGUCAUCUUGCCUGUGGUAUCAGAAAAAGGGAUUUCUACUUAGUAUUAAGAAGUUGAAACCAAAGUAGAAAAUAUUCAUCCUUUGCUUUCCCCAAACAAUUCUUCUGCCUAGAAAUGUCAACAACUUAACCACAUGCAAAUACCCAUUUGUGGACAAAUGUGUACAAAAGACAUUUGGGGUUCCCCUCUUUGAGACUAGAUUAAAGCUGACCAUAUAGAUAGGGAAGAAAACUGUUUUUCUCUGUAGCAUCAUAUUGCUGCUUUGUAUAUUUUCUGAUAGAGUAGCAUCAGGUCCUCUGGCUGCUUUAUUGAAAUCAUCUUUGACGUUUCUAACAAGGAAAUUUCCUGUGCAAAACUCUAGUUAGAGAUUUCAGUGACUUGUAUCACCAAGAGGAGGACCAUCAGCAUGCAGUGGAGGUCUAGGCUUCAGACAUGUGAGGCACACUGAGGAGCAGCUUUAUUUGCAAGAGGUAUUAGGAAUCUUCCUAACAAAGUUGACCUUCAGGAUGGGAGAAAUCAAAGCACAGACCAUAGAUCCAAAAAAAAUGGCUUCUGGUCAGAAAAGGUGAUCUGAGAUUAGGGGAAGAUGUGUCAUCAAUAUCAUCCCCUGGUCCAGCCCUGUGAAAUCACACCUGAGUGGUAGAGAAAUAUCUAUGAAAAAAUAGUAAAACAGAAACAAAUGUUUCUGUCUGGCAGACAGGCAGCUGCAUGGCUUUCAGGGCCAGGUAGAGGGGACAUCACAUGUACAUGGUGGCAGCGGGAUGUCCCCAGGUAGCAGAAAGUCGCAGGUGGCUCAUCAGAGACCCUAAAGAACUAGCCCCCUACUUGUAGGUGUCAGUGGCUGUGGUAGGAGUGGCCAUAGAUAGUUUCUGGUUACACAAGAUUGGUGUGGGAACAGCAUGACCACGAGAAAAAUCUGGGUUGACGGCCCCAGGGAGCUGGAGCAGAAUAUUAACAAUAGUAGCUAGCAUUUGAGUGCUGCCCAUGUGCUUGAAAAUGUUCUAGGUGAUUUACCUUUAUUAGCUCCUAUAAUUCUCAAAACGACCUCGAGUUAGGUCUUUCUAUUAUUCCUAUUUUAUAGACAAAGCAGUGGAGCCACAGAGAGGUUAAGUAACUUGCCCAAUGUCACACAGCAAAAAGUGGCAGAGCCACAAUUUUAAUUUGGGUUGAAGAGGAAAAUAGAUAAUGCAUAUUCCUAGGAUCUGAGAGAUGUUUGAGGUGAGGGGGAAUGAGAGGCUCUCCUUUGAAAGAAGCAGCAGGGGGUACUGAAACAGAGUAGAAGAGUGUGAAAGCUGGUGGGGUUGUUGUUGUUGUUGUUUUUAGUCCUAAGUUAGUGGCAUGAAAGCACUGCCCUGGAAGCGAUGGAGCAGCAAGUGCUCUACCCACAUGGAAGUCUUUGGGACCUGCACUUCAAUGAGCGCAGAGAGGAAAAGGAGAGAAGAACCAACACAACUGAAGCACCUACGAGCGUCAGGCACUGGCCCAGCUGCCAUGGACCCCCGAGUUGAAGGUCGUAUAACCUCAGCCUGCCCAAAUGAACCAAGCACACAACCACAGGGGGAACCCAAGAGUUCCAGUGGGAGAGCUGGAAGAGGAGGGACCAAUGUGAGAAGUGGACACCAUAUGGCAGGAUCCAGGAUCCAAUCAGACUGAGCCCUGGGGUCACCCCAUGGAAGGAUCCAGUUGGAUCAUGCCUCCUGGCAUCACCUACUGCAAGAUCCAAUCAGAUCACACCUCCUUACCCUAUGCUUAUAAAACCCCACCCAGCCCCCAGCCCGAAGAUACAGAUUUGAGUAUUUCCUCCUG
RNAcentral lists this long non-coding RNA (2843 nucleotides) under Homo sapiens (human). RNAcentral describes it as "hepatocellular carcinoma up-regulated long non- coding RNA". The record is from RNAcentral. Lineage: Eukaryota; Metazoa; Chordata; Mammalia; Primates; Hominidae.